UGAGGAAUAUUGGUCAAUGGACGGAAGUCUGAACCAGCCAAGUCGCGUGAAGGAUGACUGCCCUAUGGGUUGUAAACUUCUUUUGUAUUGGGAGAAUAAGCCUUACGUGUAAGGUGAUGACUGUACAAUACGAAUAAGCAUCGGCUAACUCCGUGCCAGCAGCCGCGGUAAUACGGAGGAUGCGAGCGUUGUCCGGAAUUACUGGGUGUAAAGGGAGCGUAGGCGGGGUGGCAAGUUGGAUGUGAAAUACCGCAGCUUAACUGCGGGGCUGCGUCCAAAACUGCUGCUCUUGAGUGAAGUAGAGGCAGGCGGAAUUCCUAGUGUAGCGGUGAAAUGCGUAAAUAUUAGGAGGAACACCAGUGGCGAAGGCGGCCUGCUGGGCUUUAACUGACGCUGAGGCUCGAAAGCUAGGGUAGCGAACG
This 422-nucleotide ribosomal RNA is filed under the name uncultured bacterium. RNAcentral's name for it is "bacterial SSU rRNA". It matches the Rfam family "Bacterial small subunit ribosomal RNA", at positions 355 to 774 of the family's 1533-position model. The record is from RNAcentral.